AAAGUCGUAACAAGGUUUCCGUAGGUGAACCUGCGGAAGGAUCAUUACAAAAAAAAAGGGAUUUAUCCCUGCUCGAAGCAGUGCGAGUUUACGUUUUUUUUAAGCGUAAAUGACCACGACUAGAGAUAUCUUUUGUGCACCGUAAACAACAAAAUUCGCGUUUUAUUAUGUCUGAUGUAACAUUUUACAGUUUUCGUGAAUGUGGUCUCGAUCCAUUUGCAUGAUAAAGAAAACAUAAAAAUAACUUUUAACAACGGAUCUCUUGGCUCUC
This 271-nucleotide unclassified non-coding RNA is filed under the name Glomeromycotina sp. Its description in RNAcentral is "partial contains small subunit ribosomal RNA, internal transcribed spacer 1, and 5.8S ribosomal RNA". The stretch from base 1 to 47 matches the Rfam family "Eukaryotic small subunit ribosomal RNA", at positions 1785 to 1831 of the family's 1831-position model. Lineage: Eukaryota; Fungi; Glomeromycota. The record is from RNAcentral.